This is a long non-coding RNA of Osmerus eperlanus (European smelt), 552 nucleotides long. RefSeq lists it as uncharacterized. The record is from RefSeq and is a predicted model, not a curated record. Lineage: Eukaryota; Metazoa; Chordata; Actinopteri; Osmeriformes; Osmeridae. The transcript is spliced from 3 exons.
GCGUGGGUGAGGGUUGGCGUGCCGGUUGGCGUUGCUGUGAUAGGUUCCUCUGUGAUCUGUGUAAUCUACUAUCUUUUGUACAAAAGGCAGGCCGCACGGAGAAACAACCUGGGAGGAUCUGAACUGAACUCUCAGGGUCAACAGAGUCAUCCUGAAACAAACCCUUCAUUGGGACCCUGCUAUGGCAUCACCAAUGACAUCAGAACUGACAACACUGACUACAGGGAAUCAGAAACAUAGAACACAGACUAGAGGCCAUUUUGAUAUUUAUAUUUUGAUAUGAUAUUUAUAUUAAUAUUUUGUUAACAUAUCAACAAUAACACAAAAGGGUCAUUGCACGGUGGGUGCAAACAUUUUUCUAUGAACAGGUGCAUUCAAUUGUACCGUUUACUUGUAUCCAUUGUGUUUCUUUAAUAACGAGUUUCGAGUUUCCUAGGUUGAUUUUUGAGUUGUUCUUUUGAAACUGACAGUACAUCUCUCACACAGCGGAGAGAUUCCUAUUUAUUCCCAGUGUUUUCGUUGCUCUCUUGUGUCUGUGUUUGAUUUUAAUAA